CACGUAGGGCGCGAGCGUUGUCCGGAAUUAUUGGGCGUAAAGAGCUCGUAGGCGGCCUGUUGCGUCCGCGGUGAAAGCCCGGGGCUUAACCCCGGGUCGGCAGUGGAUACGGGCAGGCUAGAGGUAGGUAGGGGAGAAUGGAAUUCCCGGUGUAGCGGUGAAAUGCGCAGAUAUCGGGAGGAACACCGGUGGCGAAGGCGGUUCUCUGGGCCUUACCUGACGCUGAGGAGCGAAAGCGUGGGGAGCGAACAGG
This 253-nucleotide ribosomal RNA is filed under the name uncultured bacterium. RNAcentral's name for it is "partial 16S ribosomal RNA". It matches the Rfam family "Bacterial small subunit ribosomal RNA", at positions 524 to 776 of the family's 1533-position model. The record is from RNAcentral.